GAAAAUUAUGGAAAAAAAAAACUGGCGGGGAGCUCAGAAUAAGACGGGAUAACCAGCUUUGAAGUGGAUAGUAUAUAUACCUUUUAUCCCCAGCAAAACUACGUUAACCUCCCUGGUUACAACAUUAAGCAAGAAAAAACGUCAAGUGCACCGCGCGGAUACUUUAAAUUGAGCUUCCCUGACACGUGAUUUACUAUGGUUACGCGAGGUAUAGCUUAUACGCGAUCGGAGAGGGUCUCACCUUGCCUUCCGGGCAAACUUGUAAAAAAUACAUGGGGUGCACCAGCAUCAGGCUCUCGGCUUGGGGAUCUCCUGCCUGCCUGCCUGCCGCCCCAAUCUCGGCACAUGAGACGUAUUCGAUUUCAAAAACAUUCACCAUUCCGGUCCGUUCGCUCCGUAUUUAUAUGUAUAUGAAUACUGUACGUGUCUCUCCCCGGAAAUUUUACUUGCAAAGGAUCAAUUCAAGAUUUCGAGAA
RNAcentral lists this long non-coding RNA (476 nucleotides) under Neodiprion lecontei (redheaded pine sawfly). Its description in RNAcentral is "uncharacterized LOC124293611". The record is from RNAcentral. Lineage: Eukaryota; Metazoa; Arthropoda; Insecta; Hymenoptera; Diprionidae.